Molecule: ribosomal RNA, 396 nt
Filed under: uncultured bacterium
Lineage: Bacteria
Description: bacterial SSU rRNA
Rfam family: Bacterial small subunit ribosomal RNA
Source: RNAcentral
GACGAACGCUGGCGGCGUGCUUAACACAUGCAAGUCGAGCGGUAAGGCCCUUUCGGGGGUACACGAGCGGCGAACGGGUGAGUAACACGUGGGUGACCUGCCCUCAGCUCUGGGAUAAGCCUGGGAAACUGGGUCUAAUACCGGAUAUGACUCCAUGACGCAUGUUGUGGGGUGGAAAGCCUUGUGCGGCUGAGGAUGGGCCCGCGGCCUAUCAGCUUGUUGGUGGGGNGAUGGCCCACCAAGGCGACGACGGGUAGCCGGCCUGAGAGGGCGACCGGCCACACUGGGACUGAGACACGGCCCAGACUCCUACGGGAGGCAGCAGUGGGGAAUCCUGCGCAAUGGGCGAAAGCCUGACGCAGCGACGCCGCGUGAGGGAUGACGGCCUGGUGUAAC